Molecule: ribosomal RNA, 86 nt
Filed under: Spongiibacter sp.
Lineage: Bacteria; Pseudomonadati; Pseudomonadota; Gammaproteobacteria; Cellvibrionales; Spongiibacteraceae
Description: partial 16S ribosomal RNA
Rfam family: Bacterial small subunit ribosomal RNA
Source: RNAcentral
AAGAUUGAACUGAAGAGUUUGAUCAUGGCUCAGAUUGAACGCUGGCGGCAGGCCUAACACAUGCAAGUCGAACGCGAAAAUUCCUU